GCACAUUUUGCUCAAUGAGUCAAAAACCAUAGAGUUAAUGAAUAUCCAAAAUAGUAAUGUUCCCUACAAGCUAAACAUUUAGAUACCAAGGUUGCUGAAAUCGAAGUUUUUGUGCCAAAAUCAGUUGAUUAGAAGCUUGAGAAACUCUUGAUUUGAAGUUGACACAUUGCAUAUGGAGCAUCUUUGCAAUUCUGUACGAUUUAUUUUUUAUUUUUUUUUUGCAGGGUGUUUCCCCCCCUACGUUUGUCACUGUGUCUUCCCUGGACAUUAAGUGUAUAAAUGUGUGGUGGUGCAGGUUUCUCCUCCAUCCUUCAUUUUACCGCUGACAGCAGAGAUAAAUGCAGGAAGAAAGCUUGGCCACCGCACAAAGAAAAGGCCCCCGGGACGACACGUGGUCACAUUUUCCCUCCUGACCAGACACCAAUUUUCCCCAAUCGCCCUUGGAGUACCAAACCAUGGCGGAAUGUGAGAGGCAAAAGAGCAUGGAAUUAUCCUGUCUACAUUACAGAGCAAACUGGAUGUUUAUCAAGCUCAGACAUCGGAAGGAAUUUUCGGUGGUA
Molecule: long non-coding RNA, 560 nt
Organism: Oryzias melastigma (Indian medaka)
Lineage: Eukaryota; Metazoa; Chordata; Actinopteri; Beloniformes; Adrianichthyidae
Exons: 3
Source: RefSeq, a predicted model, not a curated record